Molecule: long non-coding RNA, 1006 nt
Organism: Drosophila biarmipes
Lineage: Eukaryota; Metazoa; Arthropoda; Insecta; Diptera; Drosophilidae
Exons: 2
Source: RefSeq, a predicted model, not a curated record
UGCGGCAAAAAACGUGCGAAUAUAGUUAUAAAACAAAUGAGACGAAUACAAAUAAAGCUGCGAAACGGGUUCUUCGAAUUCUAUUAAGCUGGCGGCGAUUAUAAUUUCGCUUUAGUGCUUCCAAUAAGUUUUGACAUUGACCUCGUUUCGAAAGAAUCCAUAUAUUGUACCCCGAUUGACAUCGCAUUUUUACUUUCGCUUUCAUCUGGAGGAAUCUGGUUGAGCGCCAUACCGGGAAUCGUAUCUCGUGUUCUAUCUCCCUCUAUGGGAAGUACACUAAUCUAAUCCGAUCCGAACCAAAUCAAUCUAAUCGAAACCGUUUUGCCAACGGCCUUCAACCCGAACGAUGAAUGGAACUGCGGGCAAUGUCGUUGGAUAUGCAUAGCGGAGGUGAGGGGCGUCCGAGAAGGGUUCCAAUAGAACAUGUGUUAACCCUUGGCGGCGUCCCUGCCGUUUGUUAUGCAUUUGUUUUUAGUACGCCUUAUAUAAUCCAAUUGCUGAAUUCCGUAAACAUCGAUCGAUCGAUCGACCGGUUGAUUGGAAGAAGUGAGAUGCAGCAGCCGACCGGAGAACUUUGAUUCCGUGCAAUUCAUUUUACUGGCGCUUCUUCAAUCAAGGCGGUAAAUUUCCGUGCGUCUUCGAUUGGCUGGCCCAGGGGCUGCAGGGGGUUAAGGCAAAGGUGUAACGAUCACGAAUGCGGUGCGCUUUACGAUAUAUGGUGCUCGGAGUACUCAUGCUACGCUCAAGAAUUCGAUGCGAUGGGCACGUGCGGGCUUCAAAUCAAGUCGAAACCCGAAUUCCGGGACGCGGCCGGAUCCUUGAACCUGAUCGAACCACUUCCUGCCGGUGGAAACCCCCGGGCACAGCCCUUUUUUAUACUAUACAUGCAUCUCAGUACCCAUGUCAUGACGCAAUCGGCGUUACGAAUCCGGCAUUGUACUCUUAAAAUACACUUGAAUAGCCGACAGGGGAAAAAUAAAUAAAUUAACUAUCUUUGAAUGAUGAA